AUGUUCUCCUCGCAGUCCUUGAGCCGCCUCAACAACAUCCGCACUGCCUUGAUCAAUGCGCAGAAGGGCACCCAGUCCGUCGCCACCUACUUCGCCUCCAUGUGGGGCCUCGCUGACGAGCUCGCUGUGGCCGGGAAGCCCAUACAAGACGACGAGAUGAUCUCCUACUUGCUGCAUGGGUUGGACAUGGACUACUAGUCCCUCAUCUCCACCCUCAACGCCCGCGUCACGCCGGUCUCCCUCGACGAGCUCUACGCCAUGCUGAGCAAUUUUGAUCAGCGUGUCGCUCAGUUCCACAUCACCGGCGGU
Molecule: ribosomal RNA, 309 nt
Filed under: Triticum aestivum (bread wheat)
Lineage: Eukaryota; Viridiplantae; Streptophyta; Magnoliopsida; Poales; Poaceae
Description: partial small subunit ribosomal RNA
Source: RNAcentral